UAAAAACCCCUGCCCUACCUGGCUAGGUGUGCUCUUGUGAUUGUGACUGACACAGGCAGCACCCUUUUGCAGAAGUAGAUGUGCGUUGCUGAGAAGUUUUCUCCCUAAGUUCUGGUUUUCUUUGCAGCACCCAGCAUUUGUUUCUAACACAGGGAAAGAGUGAGCUGUAAAAACCUCUCAAAUUCAAGAAAGCGUAAAGCAAAUUGAACAAUACGGGUGAGGAGCACGGACUAUUCUCUCAUGUUGAAUGUGGCACUUUUUACAUAUAAGCAGGAGAGCAACUACACCAAGAUUUUGGAAAACAUGUUAUGUAAGGUUAAUUGUGACCUCUAUGAUGGGGAUAUGAUAAAGAAGAAAAGUACCUCACAGUGAUGAUUGGCAUGUGAUCACUUAGCCAAUGAGAUAAGAGGCUGUAGAAAUGAUGUGAUAAUGACAUCUCCUGAGUUGCAGGUCCAUAUUAGAAGUAGAUAUGAAGUAAACAUUGAGCUUUCCUCAAAUUUAAUUAACAAGGUUUAUUAUAGAUACAGCUCAAAUUAGUUAAUUCAGGAAGCUUAUUUUGUAGAAAUUAAAACAUUAAUAAACACAUACAUUUAGAAAUAAAGAACUCGGCUGACCCUUUGACUCUUUGAAACAAGUGGCCUUCCAUGCUGUGAAAGAUUGUAGCCACUCUUUGAGACAUUGGAAUGGUGUCCAUUGCAUUUUAUCAAGUAACUAUAGGUCAGCCUGGGAAAUCUGCAGUUUCCUCAUCUCCUGUCACUGUGGUUGCUGUGAGAUUUUGUGUCAUCACUGUGCUGUCUUCCCUCUCCACAUGAAGUGAAUAUUUGAAGAGAAAACGAA
Molecule: long non-coding RNA, 837 nt
Filed under: Pan troglodytes (chimpanzee)
Lineage: Eukaryota; Metazoa; Chordata; Mammalia; Primates; Hominidae
Description: long non-coding RNA NONPTRT012779
Source: RNAcentral